Molecule: ribosomal RNA, 290 nt
Filed under: uncultured bacterium
Lineage: Bacteria
Description: partial 16S ribosomal RNA
Rfam family: Bacterial small subunit ribosomal RNA
Source: RNAcentral
GUGGAUUAGAUACCCGGGUAGUCCACGCCGUAAACGAUGGGGACUAGGUGCUUGGGGGAGCGACCCCCCGAGUGCCGGCGCUAACGCAUUAAGUCCCCCGCCUGGGGAGUACGACCGCAAGGUUGAAACUCAAAGGAAUUGACGGGGGCCCGCACAAGCGGUGGAGCAUGUGGUUUAAUUCGACGCAACGCGAAGAACCUUACCCAGGCUUGACAUGUACGAGAAAGCCUCUGGAAACAGGGGCCCCUCUUCGGAGCUCGUGCACAGGUGCUGCACGGCCGUCGCCAACU